Stegodyphus mimosarum is the source of this 73-nucleotide non-coding RNA. The record is from Rfam. Lineage: Eukaryota; Metazoa; Arthropoda; Arachnida; Araneae; Eresidae.
GCCUUCGUGGUGUAAUGGUCAGCACACUCGGCGCGCAUUCGAGAGGUCCAAGGUUCGAGUCCCGACGAAGGCA